UCGGGAAUUUUGGGCAAUGGGCGAAAGCCUGACCCAGCAACGCCGCGUGAGGGAUGAAGUAUUUCGGUAUGUAAACCUCGAAAGAAUGGGAAGAAUAAAUGACGGUACCAUUUAUAAGCUCCGGCUAACUACGUGCCAGCAGCCGCGGUAAUACGUAGGGAGCAAGCGUUGUUCGGAUUUACAGGGCGUAAAGGGCGCGUAGGCGGCGCGGUAAGUCACUUGUGAAAUCUCUGAGCUUAACUCAGAACGGCCAAGUGAUACUGCUGUGCUAGAGUGCGGAAGAGGCAACCGGAAUUCUUGGUGUAGCGGUGAAAUGCGUAGAUAUCAAGAGGAACACCUGAGGCGAAGGCGGGUUGCUGGGCCGACACUGACGCUGAUGCGCGAAAGCCGGGGGAGCAAACG
This 402-nucleotide ribosomal RNA is filed under the name uncultured bacterium. Its description in RNAcentral is "bacterial SSU rRNA". It matches the Rfam family "Bacterial small subunit ribosomal RNA", at positions 355 to 774 of the family's 1533-position model. The record is from RNAcentral.